This 1483-nucleotide ribosomal RNA is filed under the name uncultured bacterium. RNAcentral describes it as "partial 16S ribosomal RNA". It matches the Rfam family "Bacterial small subunit ribosomal RNA". The record is from RNAcentral.
AACGAACACUGGCGGCGUGGAUUAGGCAUGCAAGUCGAACGAGAACGUUCUCUUCGGAGAACUAGUACAGUGGCGAACGGGUGAGUAACGGGUGGAAAACCUGCCCUUCAAUGGGGGAUAACAGUUCUAACGAGCUGCUAAUACCGCAUACGACCUUCUGACCGCCUGGUCUAAAGGUGAAAGGUGGCGAUCUCUUCGGAGAGCUGCCGUUGAAGGAUGGUUCCGCCUCCCAUUAGCUAGUUGGUGGGGUAAUGGCCUACCAAGGCGACGAUGGGUAGCCGGCCUGAGAGGGUGACCGGCCACACUGGGACUGAGAUACGGCCCAGACUCCUACGGGAGGCAGCAGUCGAGAAGCAUCCGCAAUGGGCGAAAGCCUGACGGUGCGACGCCGCGUGAGUGAAGAAGGCCCUAUGGGUUGUAAAACUCUGUCAGAUUGGGAAGAAAGCAAUGCGGUUAAUACCCGUGUUGUUUGACGGUACCAUCAGAGGAAGCACCGGCUAACUCCGUGCCAGCAGCCGCGGUAAUACGGAGGGUGCAAGCGUUGUUCGGAUUCACUGGGUAUAAAGGGUGCGCAGGCGGUCUGAUAAGUCAGAGGUGAAAUAUGUCGGCUCAACCGGCAAACGGCCCCUGAAACUGUCAGACUUGAGUUAGAGAGAGGUAAGUGGAAUUCCAGGUGUAGCGGUGAAAUGCGUAAAUAUCUGGAGGAACACCGGUGGCGAAGGCGGCUUACUGGCUCUAUACUGACGCUCAGGCACGAAAGCAUGGGGAGCGAACGGGAUUAGAUACCCCGGUAGUCCAUGCCGUAAACGAUGGGUACUAGGUGUUGGGGGAUUCUACCCCCUCAGUGCCGCAGCUAACGCAUUAAGUACCCCACCUGGGGAGUACGAUCGCAAGGUUGAAACUCAAAGGAAUUGACGGGGGCCCGCACAAGCGGUGGAGCAUGUGGUUUAAUUCGAUGCAACGCGAAGAACCUUACCACUCCUUGACAUCCUCGGAACUUGUCAGAAAUGACUUGGUGCCUUCGGGAACCGAGUGACAGGUGCUGCAUGGCUGUCGUCAGCUCGUGUCGUGAGAUGUUGGGUUAAGUCCCGUAACGAGCGCAACCCUUGUCCUUAGUUGCUAACAUUUAGUUGAGAACUCUAAGGAGACUGCCGGUGACAAACCGGAGGAAGGUGGGGAUGACGUCAAGUCAUCAUGGCCCUUACGGAGUGGGCUACACACGUGCUACAAUGGGCAGUACAGAGGGUCGCCAAGCCGCGAGGUGGAGCUAAUCUCAGAAAGCUGUUCAUAGUCCGGAUUGGAGUCUGCAACUCGACUCCAUGAAGUCGGAAUCGCUAGUAAUCGCGGAUCAGAAUGCCGCGGUGAAUACGUUCCCGGGCCUUGUACACACCGCCCGUCACACCAUGGGAGUGGGUUGCUCCAGAAGUGGCUAGUCUAACCUUCGGGAGGACGGUCACCACGGAGUGAUUCAUGACUGGGGUGA